Molecule: ribosomal RNA, 253 nt
Filed under: uncultured bacterium
Lineage: Bacteria
Description: partial 16S ribosomal RNA
Rfam family: Bacterial small subunit ribosomal RNA
Source: RNAcentral
UACGAAGGGGGCUAGCGUUGCUCGGAAUCACUGGGCGUAAAGCGCACGUAGGCGGCUUUUUAAGUCAGGGGUGAAAUCCUGGAGCUCAACUCCAGAACUGCCUUUGAUACUGAGAAGCUUGAGUCCGGGAGAGGUGAGUGGAACUGCGAGUGUAGAGGUGAAAUUCGUAGAUAUUCGCAAGAACACCAGUGGCGAAGGCGGCUCACUGGGACGUAACUGACGCUGAGACGCGAAAGCGUGGGGAGCAAACAGG